CCUACGGGUGACAGCAGUGGGGGAUAUUGGACAAUGGGGGGAACCCUGAUCCAGCGACGCCGCGUGAGUGAAGAAGUAUUUCGGUAUGUAAAGCUCUGUCAGCAGGGAAGAAAGAAAUGACGGUACCUGACCAAGAAGCCCCGGCUAACUACGUGCCAGCAGCCGCGGUAAUACGUAGGGGGCAAGCGUUAUCCGGAAUUACUGGGUGUAAAGGGAGCGUAGACGGUUAAGUAAGUCUGGAGUGAAAGGGCGGGGCCCAACCCCGGGACUGCUCUGGAAACUAUUGAACUUGAGUGCAGGGGAGGUAAGCGGAAUUCCUAGUGUAGCGGUGAAAUGCGUAGAUAUUAGGAGGAACACCAGUGGCGAAGGCGGCUUACUGGACUGUAACUGACGUUGAGGCUCGAAAGCGUGGGGAGCAAACAGGAUUAGAUACCCCAGUAGUC
RNAcentral lists this ribosomal RNA (443 nucleotides) under uncultured bacterium. RNAcentral's name for it is "partial 16S ribosomal RNA". It matches the Rfam family "Bacterial small subunit ribosomal RNA", at positions 338 to 795 of the family's 1533-position model. The record is from RNAcentral.